GCACCUUAGAGACCAACUAAGUUUGUUCUUGGUAUAAGCUUUCGUGUGCAUGCACACUUCUUCAGAUACAUGUACACAAAAGCUUAUACCAAGAACAAACUUAGUUGGUCUCUAAGGUGC
RNAcentral lists this microRNA precursor (120 nucleotides) under Podarcis lilfordi (Lilford's wall lizard). Lineage: Eukaryota; Metazoa; Chordata; Lepidosauria; Squamata; Lacertidae. The record is from RNAcentral.